Molecule: long non-coding RNA, 832 nt
Filed under: Ananas comosus (pineapple)
Lineage: Eukaryota; Viridiplantae; Streptophyta; Magnoliopsida; Poales; Bromeliaceae
Description: long non-coding RNA (ACOM_LNC030046)
Source: RNAcentral
AGAGAGAGAGAGAGAGAGAGAGAGAGUAAGGCUACUAUAUAUAUAGUUCUGGAAGCACAGAGCCUUCUGUGCUUUCAGGUCGUUUUUCAUGUUGCGACUUUCGAAUCGUCGAUCGGCUCCGUUAAAUUUGAUCUAGAGUAUUUGAAGUACCUAGAAAAUAAAUUUUAUGAUUUUCGAUAUCAUUAGCCUAGUGAUCGAAAGGGCUCAAAAUCAAUAAUCUUAAUGGCCAUAGUGACUUAGUGAGCCGUUGCAAGUUUAACGGUGUAGAAAUAUUCAAAUCACGUGAAAUUUUGGUAAAAAAUUCUUUAUACAUAAGAUCAAUAUUUUUGCUCUAAAAUUUUAAUGUCAUAUUCUUACGUUUUGUAAGAUUUAUUUUGAGCCAUUGAUUUUGAGCUCCUUUAUUCACUAGGUAAAUAAUAUCGAAAAAUCGCAUAAUUUAUUUUCUAGGUACUUCAAAUACUCUAGAUCAAAUUUAACGACGCCGAUCGACGAUUCGAAAGUCGCAAUAUGAAAAACGACCUGAAAGUACGGAAGGUUUCGUACUUCCAGAAGUAUAGCAGCCUCACUCUCUCUCUCUCUCUCUCUCUCUCUCUCUCUUCCCAAUAUCUUUUGGUGCAUGCAUUCAUGAUUUUUUUUCUCCUUCUUGGCCUGAACUUUGCAGCUCUAUACUCCUUUCACUUACUCGCAACAUACAUUAGAAGGGAUAAAGAAUCUGAAUUUUAAUACACUGAAAUUUAGUAAAAUUCAGUUNUAUAGCAGCCUCACUCUCUCUCUCUCUCUCUCUCUCUCUCUCUCUCUCUCUCUCUAUAUAUAUAUAUAUAUAUAUAUAUAU